UAUUGAAAGAGAUAUUGGUGAGGUUCAACCUGAUGGUAAUUUUAUGAAAAUUCGUAAAACAAACAUCUGAUUGAGCCGUGCCAAUAUCACUUCCUUUGUG
Molecule: microRNA precursor, 100 nt
Organism: Zostera marina
Lineage: Eukaryota; Viridiplantae; Streptophyta; Magnoliopsida; Alismatales; Zosteraceae
Source: Rfam